RNAcentral lists this long non-coding RNA (225 nucleotides) under Elaeis guineensis (African oil palm). RNAcentral describes it as "long non-coding RNA (EGUI_LNC062361)". Lineage: Eukaryota; Viridiplantae; Streptophyta; Magnoliopsida; Arecales; Arecaceae. The record is from RNAcentral.
UUUUCUCUGAGCCAGUACAACGUAACGCCAAUCGAAAAGCAUCAUGGAGGCAUAGCUGUGGCAUAUGAUGCUCAGCUCGAUCUGCCAUGGCUCGCACCAUCCCCUAAUGGGCCUAGUGUAGCCGGGUGGUAUCUCGAUACGGAGAUGCUGUCUUGGGUGCUCGUGUCUUCAAUACUCUAGAGCGAGGUUCUUCGAUGGAUCUCGCCCUCGCCUCACUACUGGUGG